ACAGCAGCAGCCGCGGUAAUACGGAGGGUGCAAGCGUUAAUCGGAAUUACUGGGCGUAAAGCGCACGCAGGCGGUCUGUCAAGUCAGAUGUGAAAUCCCCGGGCUUAACCUGGGAACUGCAUUUGAAACUGGCAGGCUAGAGUCUUGUAGAGGGGGGUAGAAUUCCAGGUGUAGCGGUGAAAUGCGUAGAGAUCUGGAGGAAUACCGGUGGCGAAGGCGGCCCCCUGGACAAAGACUGACGCUCAGGUGCGAAAGCGUGGGGAGCAAACAGGAUUAGAUACCCCAGUAGUCCCUGUCUCUUAUCC
Molecule: ribosomal RNA, 305 nt
Filed under: uncultured bacterium
Lineage: Bacteria
Description: partial 16S ribosomal RNA
Rfam family: Bacterial small subunit ribosomal RNA
Source: RNAcentral